GAACAUGAGACAGACUCCAGGAAGUCAAAAAAAGAGGACAGUCCUGAUACCAGAAAUGUGAUUCUGUUAAAGAUAUACAAAAAGGAAAGCAACAGCUACCCACUGUCCAGCUUGAGGUGAUCUUUCAGCACGGUAGCAUUGCUCCACUCUACCUGCUGAGUUCAGCUACAAAGGGUGCCCCGGAUCAGCACAGCAUCACCACUGGAGCUUGGCAUCCAGAAGGCUGGCGCCUCCAACCCCUGUACUACUGACAAUGAGAACUUCAUCCCCUGAAUGCCAGUCCACAGCAUCUUCCAGAGCCAACACUGUGUCUCCAGCACGGCCAACUGCUCGAAGAGCCUGUAGUGAUGUGUGAUCUUUACUAGAGCAGAAGCUAAAGGUACAGAUGGGAUUUAAGCAUGUCAAGUUCUCUGGACAACUACAGAGCCAUUUCUUUGAGUUCCUUUGCCCAAGAAAAGAAACUUAUACAAAGACGCAGACAAACAAGAAGAUGACAUGGCAUCUGUCUGAGCUACUGGCCCUCUCCUGACCACAUGGACCAGACCAGCCCUCAAGGAAGAGCAUGAAGAAACUCACCAAAUAACUUUUGUACCUUAUGCUCCUCUAUCUAGGAUUCUCCUAUCCAGCUUUGCUCCAUCUCGUAGAAUGAGAUUUAACUUGAUAAGGAAGCUUAUAACCCCUCCUGACUAAGCAAAUUGUAUAUCAUAAUCCAUCAUCUCAUCAUGUCUCCCUCCUUUCUACACUAACUGUGGGAGCUGGAGGGUUCAUACUGGGACAUUUCUGCCAUCACUACUAAAAUACCUACAAGCUGAGCGGGC
Cavia porcellus (domestic guinea pig) is the source of this 818-nucleotide long non-coding RNA. RefSeq lists it as uncharacterized. Lineage: Eukaryota; Metazoa; Chordata; Mammalia; Rodentia; Caviidae. The record is from RefSeq and is a predicted model, not a curated record. The transcript is spliced from 4 exons.